RNAcentral lists this microRNA precursor (83 nucleotides) under Sorex araneus (European shrew). Its description in RNAcentral is "miRNA (ENSSARG00000015162.1)". It matches the Rfam family "mir-500 microRNA precursor family". The record is from RNAcentral. Lineage: Eukaryota; Metazoa; Chordata; Mammalia; Eulipotyphla; Soricidae.
GUUCUCCCUCUCGAAUCCUUGUUACCUGGGUGAGAAUGCUUUCAGAAUGCAAUGCACCUGGGACAAGGAUUCCAGAAGGGGAG